RNAcentral lists this long non-coding RNA (651 nucleotides) under Chrysemys picta bellii (western painted turtle). RNAcentral's name for it is "lncRNA (ENSCPBG00000023321.1)". The record is from RNAcentral. Lineage: Eukaryota; Metazoa; Chordata; Testudines; Emydidae.
UAUGCUUUCCACAGUCUGACAUUCCCCUCCUCCACUAACAUGGGAGGAGGGAAGCAGACAAAGGGGAAGCCAGCCAGCAACUGCAGAAAUGUGAGAGCAGCUGCUAUGCAGCAUGUUCCUCUCUCACCUGAGCUUGUGAGGGAGCAAGAAAUAUCUUGCUGCAGACCAUUUUGCUCCAUUCUGAGUGGACAGACAGCUCUUGUGCGCUAAGAUGAUCUCCAGUUUCUCUUUCUACCGCAAUAACAGAGCAAGUGACCGAGCCACAGUUCUCCACAGAGCUCCAGCCGGGGCAGUGCAGCUGUGCACAGCCACCUAUAUGGGACACCGAGCUCGGCCUAGCCCUAAAUUCUGGAUGUGACAAUGAAUUGGGAGAUGGGAAGAGAGACAUAGACAGUAGCAAGAGGGGAGUGGAAGCAUGAGAGCUACUGUGAUAGCUUUACAUGGGCACUCAGUUUAGACCUGCGCCCCUCAGGAGAGUUCAGUCAGGUCGGUUGCUGGGAGCUGUUCGGUUGCACAAUGAGAUCUGCCUGGUGUGGAACUGCUACCCGCUGUAUUCAUGGAGCUGCACACAGUGCCCAUCCUUGUAACUUCACACCAACCACCACAUCAAAAACACUUCGGAGAAAUUCACCAAAAAACCUUCAAACACCA